Molecule: RNA transcript, 1647 nt
Organism: Carica papaya (papaya)
Lineage: Eukaryota; Viridiplantae; Streptophyta; Magnoliopsida; Brassicales; Caricaceae
Gene: PPCK2
Gene name: phosphoenolpyruvate carboxylase kinase 2
Source: RefSeq, a predicted model, not a curated record
CAAAAACCUCUCAAAAAAAACACUCGCCAUAGCUCCAGACAGCACAAUCAGAACCAGACUUUGAACAAGAGAACAGGGAGAAAAAAGGAAGAAAACCAACUUAGCAGGCACAGACUUCUUGAAUCUGCAACUGCCAUGGCGUUGUGCGAAGCACUGAAUGAGAAGUACCAGCUUUGCGAGGAGAUUGGCCGAGGGCGAUUCGGCACUGUCUCCCGUUGCUUUUGUCCGAUCUCCAAUGAAUUCUUCGCCUGCAAGAUAAUCGACAAGCGGGUCUUGACCGACCCGAUUGACCGAGAAUGUCUUGAGAAUGAGCCCAAGAUCAUGGCUCUUCUCACUCCGCACCCUAACAUCGUUCAAAUCCACGACAUGUACGAUACCGAUGAUGCACUUUUCAUCGUCAUGGACCUUUGUGACCCUGUAACUAUCUUCGAUCGUGUCGCCGCCGCCGGCCCCCUGUGCGAGGCGGAAUCAUCGAUGUACAUGAAGCAGAUCCUUCAGGCCGUCGCUCACUGUCACCGAUACGGCGUCGUUCACCGCGACGUCAAGCCUGAUAAUGUGUUGCUCGAUUUCAGAGGCGGCAGUGUACGGCUCUGCGACUUUGGUUCUGCCGAUUGGCUCGGCGUGAGUGGCGAGCGCCGGCUGACAGGACUCGUAGGCACGCCGUAUUAUGUAGCUCCGGAGGUAGUAAUGGGGAGAGAGUAUGACGAGAAGGUGGAUGUGUGGAGCGCUGGUGUCGUUUUAUACACAAUGUUGGCCGGGAUCCCGCCGUUUUACGGCGAUACAGCGGGCGAGAUCUUCGAGGCGGUUCUCAGGGGAAACCUCCGGUUUCCUCCUAAACUUUUCCGGUCGGUUUCUGCUGAAGCCAAGGAUUUGCUGAGGAAGAUGAUUUGCAAGGAUGCAUCCAGACGAUUAUCUGCAGAACAAGCUCUAAAUGGAAUCUGUGUGUUUUGAUGUCCCUGUUUUAGGAAUGUAUCUGGGAGAUUAUCUGCAGAAGAAGCUUUUAGGAGUAGGCACCCAUGGAUUGUAAAUGGAGGAGAGAGGAGUUCCAUGGAAUGAACGAGUCACCUUAAGGAGAGCAGAUAGCGGAGUGAGUAGAAGCCACAUGUCUGGCUUAGAACUGUACAUAGAAAGGCUGGCGUAUGAAAUCUAGAGGUGUUAAAGGAGACAAGCAUGCUCUCCUUCUCCUGUCUUUGGCUUGUACAGAGGACAAAAACCCUUCACGGAUCUGUUCCAGAAAACUCCAUUUUUGGCAGACCCGUAUCUCAAGAGAGACACUCACAUGGGUCUCUGCUACCAAGAAGAAAAAGCCCUUUCCUUUUGUCUUCAUGUUUUUUGUUUUGGGUAAUUCUAAUUCUACUUUAAUCCCUUCCUCCAUUAUCAUUUUGAUUGAGAGAAAUGGUAAUAAAUGAUAAUUGAAAAUUUGAAGUAUGGAUGUAAGUUUUGGAAAGUAUAGAAUGUGCAGAUAGUGUGAGGAGAAAAAGAAGAAAGAAAAAGGCAGAGUGAGAAGUGAGUAAGAUAGCAUUUCCCGGCCUUUACUUUUACUUUUUAGGUUUUGGCUUGUUAGAGAAGGGAGAAGGUAGAAAGAGGAGUUUGUACUGCUACUUCUACUGCUACUUUAUGAAUAAAAGCUAUGUUGUUAAUGACUAU